UAUCUGAUUAAAAUAUGACCAUGUAGAUCAUUGUUGCUACCACUGUUAUAUCAUUACUACAGAUCUAGUACAAAGUAUGUCAAAUAAGGGUCCAUGGAAAAGUUAUGAUUUGCUGAAUAUGAUUAUGCUAUUUGUAUGCAUAUUUCAUGUUUGUAUCUGAAGUUAUAAAUAUUAACUAUGUACCUGUAUUUCAAAUGUUGGCUCCUGUGAUAGA
Molecule: long non-coding RNA, 214 nt
Organism: Dermochelys coriacea (leatherback sea turtle)
Lineage: Eukaryota; Metazoa; Chordata; Testudines; Dermochelyidae
Exons: 3
Source: RefSeq, a predicted model, not a curated record